AACGAACGCUGGCGGCAUGCCUAACACAUGCAAGUCGAACGAGACCUUCGGGUCUAGUGGCGCACGGGUGCGUAACGCGUGGGAACAUGCCCUUAGGUUCGGAAUAACUCCCCGAAUGGGGUGCUAAUACCGGAUAAUGUCUUCGGACCAAAGAUUUAUCGCCUUUGGAUGGGCCCGCGUUGGAUUAGCUAGUUGCUAGGGUAAAAGGCUACCAAGGCGACGAUCCAUAGCUGGUCUGAGAGGAUGAUCAGCCACACUGGGACUGAGAGACGGCCCAGACUCCUACGGGAGGCAGCAGUGGGGAAUAUUGGACAAUGGGCGAAAGGCUGAUCCAGCAAUGACGCGUGAGUGAUGAAGGCCUUAGGGUUGUAAAGCUCUUUUACCCGUGAUGAUAAUGACAGUACCGGGAGAAUAAGCUCCGGCUAACUCCGUG
This 433-nucleotide ribosomal RNA is filed under the name uncultured bacterium. Its description in RNAcentral is "partial 16S ribosomal RNA". It matches the Rfam family "Bacterial small subunit ribosomal RNA", at positions 29 to 507 of the family's 1533-position model. The record is from RNAcentral.